RNAcentral lists this ribosomal RNA (253 nucleotides) under uncultured bacterium. Its description in RNAcentral is "partial 16S ribosomal RNA". It matches the Rfam family "Bacterial small subunit ribosomal RNA", at positions 524 to 776 of the family's 1533-position model. The record is from RNAcentral.
UACGAAGGGGGCUAGCGUUGCUCGGAAUCACUGGGCGUAAAGCGCACGUAGGCGGGUCGUUAAGUCGGGGGUGAAAUCCUGGAGCUCAACUCCAGAACUGCCUUUGAUACUGGCGAUCUUGAGUCUGGGAGAGGUGAGUGGAACUCCGAGUGUAGAGGUGAAAUUCGUAGAUAUUCGGAAGAACACCAGUGGCGAAGGCGGCUCACUGGCCCGGUACUGACGCUGAGGUGCGAAAGCGUGGGGAGCAAACAGG